GACGAACGCUGGCGGCGUGCUUAACACAUGCAAGUCGAACGGAAAGGCCCUGCUUUUGUGGGGUGCUCGAGUGGCGAACGGGUGAGUAACACGUGAGUAACCUGCCCUUGACUUUGGGAUAACUUCAGGAAACUGGGGCUAAUACCGGAUAGGAGCUCCUGCUGCAUGGUGGGGGUUGGAAAGUUUCGGCGGUUGGGGAUGGACUCGCGGCUUAUCAGCUUGUUGGUGGGGUAGUGGCUUACCAAGGCUUUGACGGGUAGCCGGCCUGAGAGGGUGACCGGCCACAUUGGGACUGAGAUACGGCCCAGACUCCUACGGGAGGCAGCAGUGGGGAAUAUUGCACAAUGGGCGGAAGCCUGAGGCAGCAACGCCGCGUGCGGGAUGACGACCUUCGGGUUGUAAACCGCUUUCGCCUGUGACGAAGCGUGAGUGACGGUAAUGGGUAAAGAAGCACCGGCUAACUACGUG
RNAcentral lists this ribosomal RNA (468 nucleotides) under uncultured bacterium. RNAcentral's name for it is "partial 16S ribosomal RNA". It matches the Rfam family "Bacterial small subunit ribosomal RNA", at positions 28 to 507 of the family's 1533-position model. The record is from RNAcentral.